Corchorus capsularis is the source of this 119-nucleotide ribosomal RNA. Lineage: Eukaryota; Viridiplantae; Streptophyta; Magnoliopsida; Malvales; Malvaceae. The record is from Rfam.
GGGUGUGAUCAUACCAGCACUAAUGCACCGGAUCCCAUCAGAACUCCGCAGUUAACCGUGCUUGGGCGAGAAUAGUACUAGGAUGGGUGACCUCCUGGGAAGUCCUCGUGUUGCACCCC